This 510-nucleotide ribosomal RNA is filed under the name uncultured bacterium. RNAcentral's name for it is "partial 16S ribosomal RNA". It matches the Rfam family "Bacterial small subunit ribosomal RNA", at positions 28 to 507 of the family's 1533-position model. The record is from RNAcentral.
GACGAACGCUGGCGGCGUGCUUAACACAUGCAAGUCGAACGAAGAGCGAUGGAAGCUUGCUUCUAUCAAUCUUAGUGGCGAACGGGUGAGUAACGCGUAAUCAACCUGCCCUUCAGAGGGGGACAACAGUUGGAAACGACUGCUAAUACCGCAUACGAUCUAACCUCGGCAUCGAGGAUAGAUGAAAGGUGGCCUCUACAUGUAAGCUAUCACUGAAGGAGGGGAUUGCGUCUGAUUAGCUAGUUGGAGGGGUAACGGCCCACCAAGGCGAUGAUCAGUAGCCGGUCUGAGAGGAUGAACGGCCACAUUGGGACUGAGACACGGCCCAGACUCCUACGGGAGGCAGCAGUGGGGAAUCUUCCGCAAUGGACGAAAGUCUGACGGAGCAACGCCGCGGGAGUGAUGACGGCCUUCGGGUUGUAAAGCUCUGUUAAUCGGGACGAAAGGCCUUCUUGCGAAUAGUUAGAAGGAUUGACGGUACCGGAAUAGAAAGCCACGGCUAACUACGUG